AUACGUAGGGGGCGAGCGUUGUCCGGAAUUACUGGGCGUAAAGGGCGCGUAGGCGGCCGAUUAAGUCUGGAGUGAAAGCCCCGCUUUCAAGGUGGGAAUUGCUUUGGAGACUGGUUGGCUUGAGUGCGGAAGAGGUAAGGGGAAUUCCCAGUGUAGCGGUGAAAUGCGUAGAGAUUGGGAGGAACACCAGUGGCGACGGCGACUUACUGGGCCGUAACUGACGAUGAGGCGCGAGAGCGUGGGGAGCGAACAGGAGUAGAUACCCUGGUACUCCCCGCGGUAAACGAUGAAUGCUAGGUGUAGGUGGGAUCGACCCCUUCUGUGCUGCAGUCAACACAAUAAGCAUUCCGCCUGGGGAGUACGGCCGCAAGGUUGAAACUCAAAUGAAUAGAAGGGG
Molecule: ribosomal RNA, 397 nt
Filed under: uncultured bacterium
Lineage: Bacteria
Description: partial 16S ribosomal RNA
Rfam family: Bacterial small subunit ribosomal RNA
Source: RNAcentral